AGAGUUUGAUCCUGGCUCAGGAUUAACGCUGGCGGCGUGCAUAACACAUGCAAGUCGAACGAUGAAGAUUAUUAGACUUCUUCGGAAUGAAAAUAAUUGGAUUAGUGGCGGACGGGUGAGUAACGCGUGAGUAACCUGCCUUACACAAGGGGAUAGCCGUUGGAAACGACGAAUAAUACCCUAUGAAACUAUCACUUCGCAUGAAGCGAUAGUCAAAGUGUUAGCGGUGUAAGAUGGACUUGCGUCUGAUUAGCUAGUUGGUGAGAAAAAAGCCCACCAAGGCAACGAUCAGUAGCCGGCUUGAGAGAGUGUACGGCCACAUUGGGACUGAGACACGGCCCAGACUCCUACGGGAGGCAGCAGUGGGGAAUUUUGCACAAUGGGGGAAACCCUGAUGCAGCGACGCCGCGUGAUUUAGAAGGCCUUCGGGUUGUAAAAAUCUUUUGUAUAGGAAGAAAAUGACAGUACUAUACGAAUAAGGUCCGGCUAAUUACGUGCCAGCAGCCGCGGUAAUACGUAAGGACCGAGCGUUGUCCGGAAUCAUUGGGCGUAAAGGGUACGUAGGCGGGUCAUUAAGUUAGAAGUCAAAGGCUAUAGCUCAACUAUAGUAAGCUUCUAAAACUGGAGACCUUGAGUAAUGGAAGGGAAAGUGGAAUUCCUAGUGUAGCGGUGGAAUGCGCAGAUAUUAGGAGGAAUACCGGUGGCGAAGGCGACUUUCUGGCCAUUAACUGACGCUGAGGUACGAAAGCGUGGGUAGCAAACAGGAUUAGAUACCCUGGUAGUCCACGCCGUAAACGAUGAGUGUUAGGUGUCUGGAGUAAAUCUGGGUGCCGCAGCUAACGCAUUAAACACUCCGCCUGGGGGAGUACGCACGCAAGUGUGAAACUCAAAGGAAUUGACGG
RNAcentral lists this ribosomal RNA (902 nucleotides) under uncultured bacterium. RNAcentral's name for it is "bacterial SSU rRNA". It matches the Rfam family "Bacterial small subunit ribosomal RNA", at positions 8 to 916 of the family's 1533-position model. The record is from RNAcentral.